Molecule: ribosomal RNA, 789 nt
Filed under: uncultured Staphylococcus sp.
Lineage: Bacteria; Bacillati; Bacillota; Bacilli; Caryophanales; Staphylococcaceae
Description: bacterial SSU rRNA
Rfam family: Bacterial small subunit ribosomal RNA
Source: RNAcentral
GAUGUUAGCGGCGGACGGGUGAGUAACACGUGGAUAACCUACCUAUAAGACUGGGAUAACUUCGGGAAACCCGGAGCUAAUACCGGAUAAUAUUUUGAACCGCAUGGUUCAAAAGUGAAAGACGGUCUUGCUGUCACUUAUAGAUGGAUCCGCGCUGCAUUAGCUAGUUGGUAAGGUAACGGCCUACCAAGGCAACGAUGCAUAGCCGACCUGAGAGGGUGAUCGGCCACACUGGAACUGAGACACGGUCCAGACUCCUACGGGAGGCAGCAGUAGGGAAUCUUCCGCAAUGGGCGAAAGCCUGACGGAGCAACGCCGCGUGAGUGAUGAAGGUCUUCGGAUCGUAAAACUCUGUUAUUAGGGAAGAACAUAUGUGUAAGUAACUGUGCACAUCUUGACGGUACCUAAUCAGAAAGCCACGGCUAACUACGUGCCAGCAGCCGCGGUAAUACGUAGGUGGCAAGCGUUAUCCGGAAUUAUUGGGCGUAAAGCGCGCGUAGGCGGUUUUUUAAGUCUGAUGUGAAAGCCCACGGCUCAACCGUGGAGGGUCAUUGGAAACUGGAAAACUUGAGUGCCAGAAGAGGAAAGUGGAAUUCCAUGUGUAGCGGUGAAAUGCGCAGAGAUAUGGAGGAACACCAGUGGCGAAGGCGACUUUCUGGUCUGUAACUGACGCUGAUGUGCGAAAGCGUGGGGAUCAAACAGGAUUAGAUACCCUGGUAGUCCACGCCGUAAACGAUGAGUGCUAAGUGUUAGGGGGUUUCCGCCCCUUAGUGCUGCAGCUAACGCAUU